GGGACAUCUGUGAGGGCAGUCUGGUUGAGACAUCUGUCACCCCAAUAGUGCUAGAGCUGACUCAGCUGAUCAGACUGGACAGGCAGGUGUUCCCUUCCCCUCCUCACUGCCCCAUGUACAUCUCUUCUGAAGCUGCACACUACACCACUGAGUCGGACAGGACAAUCUCUCCUGAGUAGAGAAGCUAGGUUUUUGGUUAAGGGUACACAAGUGGCUGCACGCCUCCACACGAGCUUACAAGUUCCCAGGCUACACAGCUAGGAUGUGAGAGGACCAGACACUGAGUCAGGCUGUCCCAAAGGUUCACCUGUCUACAGGACUACUGUUC
This 328-nucleotide small nuclear RNA is filed under the name Mus caroli (Ryukyu mouse). RNAcentral describes it as "sRNA (MGP_CAROLIEiJ_G0008866.1)". It matches the Rfam family "7SK RNA". Rfam says of the family: 7SK was discovered as an abundant small nuclear RNA in the mid-70s but a possible function has only recently been suggested. Two independent studies have found that 7SK RNA binds the CDK9/cyclin T complex (known as elongation factor P-TEFb). The record is from RNAcentral. Lineage: Eukaryota; Metazoa; Chordata; Mammalia; Rodentia; Muridae.